This 465-nucleotide ribosomal RNA is filed under the name uncultured bacterium. RNAcentral's name for it is "partial 16S ribosomal RNA". It matches the Rfam family "Bacterial small subunit ribosomal RNA", at positions 338 to 795 of the family's 1533-position model. The record is from RNAcentral.
CCUACGGUGGGCAGCAGUGGGGAAUAUUGCGCAAUGGGCGAAAGCCUGACGCAGCGACGCCGCGUGAGGGAUGAAGGUCUUCGGAUUGUAAACCCCUGUUAGCAGGGAAGAACGGUCCCUGUGCUAACCAGCAGUGCAUUGACGGUACCUGCAAAGGCAGCACCGGCCAACUCCGGGCCAGCAGCAGGGGUAAUACGGAGGGUGUGAGCGUUAAUUGGAAUUAUUGGGCGUAAAGGGGGCGUAGGCGGGAUGUCGAGUGAAGGGGGAAAUCCCCGCGCUCAACGUGGGAACUGCCUUUGAAACUGGGGAGCUGGAGUGUGUGAGAGGAUAGUGGAAUUCCAGGUGUAGCGGUGAAAUCCGUAGAUAUCUGGCAGAACAUCGGUGGCGAAGGCGGCUAACUGGCGCAUAACUGACGCUGAGGAGCGAAAGCGUGGGUAGCGAACAGGAUUAGAUACCCUUGUAGUC